This is a non-coding RNA of Castor canadensis (American beaver), 399 nucleotides long. The record is from the annotation of a RefSeq genome assembly. NCBI's taxonomy places the organism in Eukaryota, Metazoa, Chordata, Mammalia, Rodentia, Castoridae.
AUGACCAAGAUUGCUCUCCUUGUGUUCUUCUCCCAGUACACAGGUUCCCUCUCUCAGCCUGUGCUGACUCAGCCACCCUCCCUCUCUGCAUCUUCUGGGGCAACUGUAAGACUUACCUGCACCCUGAGUAGUGGUUUUAGUAUUGCUAGUUACCACAUAAACUGGUACCAGCAAAACCCUGGAAGCUCUCCCAGGUUGCUCCUGUGCUACGUCUCAGAUUCAAAUAAGUACCAAGGACCUGGUGUCCCUGACCGUUUCUCUGGAUCCAAGGAUGUCUCAGCUAAUGCAGGUGUUCUUCAUAUCUCUGGACUGGCAUCUGAGGAUGAUGCUGAUUAUUACUGCAGUGUAUGGGAUGGCAGCUCUAACACUUACACAGUGCUUCAUUGUAUGGGGAAGUGA